RNAcentral lists this ribosomal RNA (495 nucleotides) under uncultured bacterium. Its description in RNAcentral is "partial 16S ribosomal RNA". It matches the Rfam family "Bacterial small subunit ribosomal RNA", at positions 28 to 507 of the family's 1533-position model. The record is from RNAcentral.
GACGAACGCUGGCGGCGUGCCUAAUACAUGCGAGUAGAACGCUGAAGGAGGAGCUUGCUUCUCUGGAUGAGUUGCGAACGGGUGAGUAACGCGUAGGUAACCUGCCUGGUAGCGGGGGAUAACUAUUGGAAACGAUAGCUAAUACCGCAUAAUAGCAGUUAUUGCAUGAUAACUGUUUGAAAGGUGCAAUUGCACCACUACCAGAUGGACCUGCGUUGUAUUAGCUAGUUGGUGGGGUAACGGCUCACCAUGGCGACGAUACAUAGCCGACCUGAGAGGGUGAUCGGCCACACUGGGACUGAGACACGGCCCAGACUCCUACGGGAGGCAGCAGUAGGGAAUCUUCGGCAAUGGACGGAAGUCUGACCGAGCAACGCCGCGUGAGUGAAGAAGGUUUUCGGAUCGUAAAGCUCUGUUGUAAGAGAAGAACGAGUGUGAGAGUGGAAAGUUCACACUGUGACGGUAUCUUACCAGAAAGGGACGGCUAACUACGUG